This 463-nucleotide long non-coding RNA is filed under the name Cricetulus griseus (Chinese hamster). Its description in RNAcentral is "lncRNA (ENSCGRG00015035484.1)". Lineage: Eukaryota; Metazoa; Chordata; Mammalia; Rodentia; Cricetidae. The record is from RNAcentral.
CAAAAGUCUGGCCCAGGGAAGUCCUGCCUUCGACCUUCAACGUGGCUGGUCUAGUCUCAGGUUCCUGGAAGGAGGGAGAAAGGGAGGGCGGUGAAACCUGAGAAAGGAACAGAGGGAGGCUAGCCGGGCCUUCCUUCUGAGGCUUCUUAUCUUCCCCACAUUGGAACAAGAAGAGAAAUCUUCAAGAAUAUCUCCCCUUUUCAUCUCUUCCUUGUGGUUGGUUGUUGAAAGCCACGCAUCUUGUUCAGAGCAGCUGUUCACAGAGAGGUCCCACUGUUCUUCAGAUAGUUAGGACUCUGACACCAUCAGCACACAGACAAAAGACAGACAGAAACAGCUCACAGAAGGAAGCAGGCCAUAGCCUCCGCCCAGAGUGGGAAUUAAAUGUUUUCUUCCUGAAAGCAGAAAGGAAAACCACGAUUAAAGCCAAGCUGUGACUCGAAGUCUACGACUCCAUGACAGC